CUGAGUUGUAGAUAGGUUUGGUGGACACAUACACAAUUUACGGUAUGACGUAGCCAUUCAUCAAUUGAGGAAGAGCCGCAGUUAGCGAAAUUUCGGGCGAGUGAGCAAACAAACAGUUCAACAUAAGGAAACCGGUUUCUCAGGGCCCAUCGAAACGAAGUUCGACAAACCUUAACGUGGGCUGAUUCAUCAUUGUUAUUACUUACUCGGAAGCAGUACAGCUUAUUCGCCUUUUGCGGGUGCUUUCAAAGGUCGACGGAUGCACAGUGGGAUAUCGCUGAUUAUCAACCAGAAAUAGAAAAUUAGAAUUAUCCAUCGAUUAUAUGCCUAUCAUUGUAGAAAAAUUCAACACCUUUUUUUUUUUGCUUGGCCAACAAACUCAUGGAGUCACCGCAAUGUGGGGUAUAGCGCGAACAGAAACAGGAAGCGAACGAGAAGUUUUUUUUAUUGAUCCGGUGAGGAUGAAAGCUAUUGACUAUCCGUGGGAAAGGAAUAAAAAUUCGAUGCUAUCCGAAGGAGGCUUCUGAAGA
Wyeomyia smithii (pitcher-plant mosquito) is the source of this 530-nucleotide long non-coding RNA. RefSeq lists it as uncharacterized. The transcript is spliced from 2 exons. Lineage: Eukaryota; Metazoa; Arthropoda; Insecta; Diptera; Culicidae. The record is from RefSeq and is a predicted model, not a curated record.